UGGAGAGUGGCGUAAGGGUAACGUGGUUGUUUUGGGUGCAAUUGUUACGGGUUCAAGUCCCGUCUCUCCGA
RNAcentral lists this transfer RNA (71 nucleotides) under Stachyamoeba lipophora. Its description in RNAcentral is "tRNA-Pro". It matches the Rfam family "tRNA". From Rfam's summary of the family: Transfer RNA (tRNA) molecules are approximately 80 nucleotides in length. Their secondary structure includes four short double-helical elements and three loops (D, anti-codon, and T loops). The record is from RNAcentral. Lineage: Eukaryota; Heterolobosea; Gruberellidae.